This is a long non-coding RNA of Hypanus sabinus (Atlantic stingray), 1257 nucleotides long. RefSeq lists it as uncharacterized. The transcript has 2 exons. NCBI's taxonomy places the organism in Eukaryota, Metazoa, Chordata, Chondrichthyes, Myliobatiformes, Dasyatidae. The record is from RefSeq and is a predicted model, not a curated record.
CCCUCCCCUCCCCUCCCCAUCCAAAAGUUCCCUCUUUCAUCCCUCCUACCCACACUCAUACGUUCCCCAGCCCAGCUCUGUGCCUCCAACCAGCUGUUCGAUGAGACAACAUGGGGAGUUUCAGAGAUACAGCAGGGAACAGGCCCUUCUGCAGCCACCCAGCAACACACCCGACCCCAGCCUAAUCACAGGACAGUUUACAAUGACAGAUUAACUUACCAGCCGGUACACCCUUAUAAUGUGGGGGGAAACCGGAGCACCCAGAGGAAACCCACACAUUCCACAGGGAGGACAUACAAACUCUUUCAAUGGCUAAUACAAACGUUAAGUUCCUCAGUGUUAUUACUUCAGAGGGCCUGUGAAAUGGUCCAGCUCGUAAGGGCCGUUACAAAGAAAGCAUAGCGGCACCUCUGCUUAUGAGCUUGCAAAGAUUUGCCAUGACACCUGAAGUUUUGACAAACUUCCAAAGAUGUGUGGUGGAGAGUGUAUUGACUGCAUCACAGCCUGGAAACACCAAUGCCCUUAAACGGGAAAUCCAACAAGAAGGAGGGGAUAUGGCCCAGUCCAUCGCGGGUAAGGCCCUCUCCACCACUGAGCCGGUCUCCAGGAAAGACUGGCACUGGAAUCCCCCCCACAGAGCAUGAUUUCUUCCAGUUGCUGCCACAAGGAAGGAGGUACAGGAGCCUCAGGAUCCACACCACCAGGUUCAGGAACAGUUAAUACCCCUCAACCAUCAGGCUCUUGAACCAAAGGGGAUAACUUCACUCAACUUUGCUUGUCCCAUCAUUGAAAUGUUCCCACAACCAACUGACUUUCAAGGACUCUUUCACUCAUGUUCUCAAUAUCUGUUGCUUAUUUAUUGAUGAUUAUUAUUUCUUACUUUCAAUUGUUGCUGCGUUUGUUGUCUUCUGCUCUCUGGUUGAACGCCAAACUGGUGUGGUCUUUCAUUGAUUCUGGCAUGGUUCUUAUUCUAUUAUAAAUUUAUUGACUAUGCCCGUAAGAAAGGGAAUUUCGGCGUUUCACAUGGUGACAUAUAUGUACCUUGAUAAUAAAUUUACUUUGAACUUUGAAUAAGGGGGCAUAAUUUUAAGGCGAUUGGAGGAAAACUAUUACCUUUGUUAGACAUUAUUUUCUUUUUAUAAUAUAUUGACUUAACAUGAUUAUAUUUUAAUUUCAUAUAUGUCCUGCUACUACUUUCAUUUUUAUUGGAACCUGUGUCCGGAAAAGUCUGAAUUAAAUACAAAAAUUAUAAAACAA